Molecule: unclassified non-coding RNA, 240 nt
Filed under: fungal sp.
Lineage: Eukaryota; Fungi
Description: partial internal transcribed spacer region
Rfam family: Eukaryotic small subunit ribosomal RNA (bases 1-46)
Source: RNAcentral
AAGUCGUAACAAGGUAACCGUAGGUGAACCUGCGGUUGGAUCAUUAAUAAAUUUAUAAAAGGCAUUGUGUUUGAAAGAACCAUUGCUCUUUUUAACAAAUUUGUGAACUUUUAAAAGUCUUUUGGGGUAUGUCGUAAGGCUUACCCCAACCCUUUAAACAAUUGCCAUUGAUUUCUAACUUGUCUUGAAUUUAAAAUAUUAAUUUAAAAACAACUUUUGACAACGGAUCUCUUGGCUCUC